GGGGCUGAUUCUGGAUUCGACGGGAUUUGCGAAACCCAAGGUGCAUGCCGAGGGGCGGUUGGCCUCGUAAAAAGCCGCAAAAAAAUAGUCGCAAACGAAGAAAACUACGCUUUAGCAGCUUAAUAACCUGCUUAGAGCCCUCUCUCCCUAGCCUCCGCUCUUAGGACGGGGAUCAAGAGAGGUCAAACCCAAAAGAGAUCGCGCGGAUGCCCUGCCUGGGGUUGAAGCGUUAAAACGAAUCAGGCUAGUCUGGUAGUGGCGUGUCCGUCCGCAGGUGCCAGGCGAAUGUAAAGACAGACUAAGCAUGUAGUACCGAGGAUGUAGGAAUUUCGGACGCGGGUUCAACUCCCGCCAGCUCCACCA
This 363-nucleotide transfer-messenger RNA is filed under the name Salmonella enterica. RNAcentral's name for it is "Standard tmRNA". It matches the Rfam family "transfer-messenger RNA". From Rfam's summary of the family: Bacterial tmRNA, also known as 10Sa RNA or SsrA, is named for its dual tRNA and mRNA-like properties. Its role is to liberate the mRNA from a stalled ribosome. RNAcentral also lists the same sequence under 2 other names. Lineage: Bacteria; Pseudomonadati; Pseudomonadota; Gammaproteobacteria; Enterobacterales; Enterobacteriaceae. The record is from RNAcentral.